AGCCCGUAGUGGUCCUUUGUCAAGUGCAGCCACAGGCUUACCUCUUACUGCAGCUGCAGAACAGUUGGAAAUGGCAGUCAGGGCUAGCACACCCAACAGUUCUCCACAGCGCAAAUGAGAAAACCUUUUCCUAGCUACAGUUGUGCUUUCAUAUUUGCUGAACUCAUAUGUGAUGAUCUACGUGCUCCGUUAGGUGUUUGCUCUCAAGCCCGUUGCACAAAAAAGGACACUGUCACCGAUGGGAAGAUGUGUGCCAAGUGGCUGGCAGCUGGCCAGGAUGUGCUUGAGUGCACCUGAGAUGGCAGCAGGAUCUGGUUGCUUAAGAAUCCAGCAGCAGGACAUUGAAGUAGCAGCAGCAUGACUCACACACAGUUGUGGUAGAUGACUACGCGCAGCUAUCUGCUUUGAAAAGAAUAUUUGAAACAUCCUUCAUCGUCUCUAAAUAUUGCUUUCUUCAGUAAAAAGAUUACUGCACAUCUAACCAUUCAAAAGUGAAUUUUCUAUGGAUCAGCAAACAUGAAAUCAAACAAGAUCUCACCAGAACAACAAGUGCAAAACCAUCAAUGUCUCUGAAGCUACAAUAAUCAACACAUCUGUCAGUUGUUCCAAGAAGUCAUAUAUUUCAUCAAGUCCAACAAGCACUACCAUAGGAAGUACAUGUGUGAAACUAAACUAAAGUGCUUCCGUUGUCAUUUAUCUGUUUAAAACACUUUUUUUCAACAAUAAAAUACCACGUAAAUCUU
Molecule: long non-coding RNA, 743 nt
Organism: Columba livia (rock pigeon)
Lineage: Eukaryota; Metazoa; Chordata; Aves; Columbiformes; Columbidae
Exons: 4
Source: RefSeq, a predicted model, not a curated record